Molecule: long non-coding RNA, 2105 nt
Filed under: Helianthus annuus (common sunflower)
Lineage: Eukaryota; Viridiplantae; Streptophyta; Magnoliopsida; Asterales; Asteraceae
Description: hypothetical non coding rna
Source: RNAcentral
UGCUCAAUCUCUCCCUACUUCUCGAUCUAUCUCUUUCUAUAAUUCUAUGCUUUUAUUUUUAUUUCUAUUUUUAUUCUAUAAAAAUAAUAAUAAAGCCCUGUCCAUUUUAAGUAUUGUAACUUCCAAUCAUCACCACCCUUUCCGAUUGAUCUGAGUCCCAUAACGCAUGUCAAGGCUCUGCCUGACUAAGUUCGUUUGGAUUCUAUCUCAGGACUUCGGGACAAGGUGGAAUUAGGAGUACUAUACUUAACACGAGUGCAAUAUAUAUUUUUAAUAGCUCCAAAGGUUAUACCCAAAAUUUAUACCAGGAGUCCUUCUAGUUGAACCCUAAAGUUACAUAGUAGGUCCAUUCCUUUUUCCCACCAUUUUAUUCUUUUUUUGUAAGUUACCAAAACUAUUAUUUAUUAUUUAUUAUUUCUAUUUUAUAAACAAACUUUCAUCAAAAGUCAUGCCUAUUAUUUACCCAAUAGGGAACCAUAGUUGAGACACCCAAGUAAUCCUGCACAACCCCUAAAAUUUCCAGAACAAUCAGAAUCAGGAUCAGGGCCCCUAAAACUCAGGGGGGGAUAAACCCUAGCCAACGAUUAUCUUCAUAACUAAUUAUAAAAUCCGAAAAAUUAAAAACCGUCGACACAGCAAGCCUACAUGCACGAAGGGCUACUCUAUGAAAAUAGGGUGAUCACUCGCGUAGCGCGACGCCUAAAGGGGUACCCCCUCGCGCUACGCGACGGUGUCAAAUUUUCAGUAUAAAUAGCAGGGGUUGGGACUUGAAAUUUGGCACUUGAACGACGAAAAUCGGAGUUACGUAGGUCGAGUUAUAAGCAAAACAGUCCAACACACACACACAAUUAUCGAAUCGCUGCCGCAGAACAGGGUAAUUACUCGAUCGCUAUUACGAUUCAGUUUCCAGGAUCAAUAUACCCAAAGAAUGUCUAAGUGCCGCCCACAUUGGGCUAUGCUUUGUCGUUGUCGAUAAUUCGAUAAUGAGUUGAAGCAUUGUACUUUGUCGUUGUCGAUAAUUCGAUAAUGAGUUGAAGUACUAUACUUUGUCGUUUGUCAUUUUGAUAAAUGAGUUGAAGUAUCGCACUUGGUCAUUCAUUGCGAAUAUUUGAUCCCGGGAAAUUAUCGUAGCUGCUGUAUUGAGCAUUAACCCGGUUUUUGUGAAAUUCGUUAAGGUUGAUUUAGGUUUUUCACCAAUACGUAUUCUAUUCUGUUAAACCACCAAAAACACUCCCAACUACACCCUUACAAUCAAACAAACUAUUAAAUCAUCAGAAGAUCCAGAAUAAUAAAUGCCUAAUUAUCGAAAGAAGUAGAAUCAAGAAGUUUGUUAAUUCAAUCCUGCAUGCUGAAUUGUAGUUACAGUAGAUUGGAGUAAGGAUUGGAUCCGGCACUAAAAGACUUCAAGAAGUGGCUUAUUUUAUUAAUUAAAUCAACUUAAGAAAUAUUGUUUUCAUUAAAAGCUACCUUUGUAAAACAUGGAAUUUAUUCCAUCUAUUUCAAUAAAAAUCCGGUGUUUCUAAACUCUGAUAUUUUCCUAACUCACGGUCCUGAUGAAAUUUCCGCUGCAAUGUUUUUAAAAUAAUCACCGGUACCACUGGACUGCUCACGGCACCGAUCCCGGCUAGAUGGGGUCGGGGGUCGUGACAUAAGGAUAAUCACUCCGUCAUAAAAAACAAUUUUAAAUAACCUACUAUAUAAUAACAGGACCCACACGUCCCACACGUUGGAAAUUCGGUUGUUUUCAGUUCAGUUAUUACGGUGCUAACACGUUAAAAUAUGGAUGAGCUCGGUACCGGUAACGGCAAGGAAAGUACCGAUCCGGAAAAUCAUCGAAAUUAGGUACCGGCACCGAAAAUGCUCGUUACAAUACAAUAUGGAAUUUGAAGGUAAAAAACAAUAAAUACAGGUAUGGUGCUAGACCGUUGUCGAACGAAAGUAACGAUUCUGAAAACGCCAAAAGGUGGGUACCAAAUUGGUACCGAAAAUGAUUUGGUAUAGUAAAUUUGGUACCAAUACGAUGUCGAUUCGUUUACAGGAUUUGAUACGAUUUGCUCAUCAAUAUUCUAAAUAUGCAAGUUAAUUUUACAUGUUACAAUUCAUUC